GAUGAACGCUAGCUACAGGCUUAACACAUGCAAGUCGAGGGGCAGCAUUUCAGUUUGCUUGCAAACUGGAGAUGGCGACCGGCGCACGGGCGAGUAACACGUAUCCAACCUGCCGAUAACUCGGGGAUAGCCUUUCGAAAGAAAGAUUAAUACCCGAUGGUAUAAUCAGACCGCAUGGUCUUGUUAUUAAAGAAUUUCGGUUAUCGAUGGGGAUGCGUUCCAUUAGGCAGUUGGUGAGGUAACGGCUCACCAAACCUUCGAUGGAUAGGGGUUCUGAGAGGAAGGUCCCCCACAUUGGAACUGAGACACGGUCCAAACUCCUACGGGAGGCAGCAGUGAGGAAUAUUGGUCAAUGGGCGCAGGCCUGAACCAGCCAAGUAGCGUGAAGGAUGACUGCCCUAUGGGUUGUAAACUUCUUUUAUAUGGGAAUAAAGUUUUCCACGUGUGGAAUUUUGUAUGUACCAUAUGAAUAAGGAUCGGCUAACUCCGUGCCAGCAGCCGCGGUAAUACGGAGGAUCCGAGCGUUAUCCGGAUUUAUUGGGUUUAAAGGGAGCGUAGGUGGACAGUUAAGUCAGUUGUGAAAGUUUGCGGCUCAACCGUAAAAUUGCAGUUGAUACUGGCUGUCUUGAGUACAGUAGAGGUGGGCGGAAUUCGUGGUGUAGCGGUGAAAUGCUUAGAUAUCACGAAGAACUCCGAUUGCGAAGGCAGCUCACUGGACUGCAACUGACACUGAUGCUCGAAAGUGUGGGUAUCAAACAGGAUUAGAUACCCUGGUAGUCCACACAGUAAACGAUGAAUACUCGCUGUUUGCGAUAUACAGUAAGCGGCCAAGCGAAAGCAUUAAGUAUUCCACCUGGGGAGUACGCCGGCAACGGUGAAACUCAAAGGAAUUGACGGGGGCCCGCACAAGCGGAGGAACAUGUGGUUUAAUUCGAUGAUACGCGAGGAACCUUACCCGGGCUUAAAUUGCAUUUGAAUAUAUUGGAAACAGUAUAGCCGUAAGGCAAAUGUGAAGGUGCUGCAUGGUUGUCGUCAGCUCGUGCCGUGAGGUGUCGGCUUAAGUGCCAUAACGAGCGCAACCCUUAUCUUUAGUUACUAACAGGUCAUGCUGAGGACUCUAGAGAGACUGCCGUCGUAAGAUGUGAGGAAGGUGGGGAUGACGUCAAAUCAGCACGGCCCUUACGUCCGGGGCUACACACGUGUUACAAUGGGGGGUACAGAAGGCAGCUACCUGGUGACAGGAUGCUAAUCCCAAAAGCCUCUCUCAGUUCGGAUCGAAGUCUGCAACCCGACUUCGUGAAGCUGGAUUCGCUAGUAAUCGCGCAUCAGCCAUGGCGCGGUGAAUACGUUCCCGGGCCU
RNAcentral lists this ribosomal RNA (1359 nucleotides) under uncultured bacterium. Its description in RNAcentral is "bacterial SSU rRNA". It matches the Rfam family "Bacterial small subunit ribosomal RNA", at positions 28 to 1381 of the family's 1533-position model. The record is from RNAcentral.